GUGAAAAAUGUUAUACGUAUCUUGAGAAUGAAAUGUGAGUAUGAAUAUAAGUGAUGAUAUUUUAUUUAUACGAGAAAGAUAUGUGUUUAAAUAUGUCAUUUUCCAAAAUGUGCUCAUUUGGCUAAAUGAAGUUAUGAAAUGAAUGUCAUAUGAUAAUUGAAUUGAAUAAACUUGAGGAAGCUAAAUUUAGUUAUGUAAGUGAUUAUAUUAUUGAAUGGUGGUAAGUUGAAAUGAGAACAUGUUAUAAAUUUGAGAAAAGUUUAUGUUUGGCCUGUGAGAUAGCAUAUCAUGCUUAUGACAUUGAAUUGAAAUUAUAUGUUAUGAUAAGUUUAUUAAGAUACGAGCUUACUAAGCUUUAUAGCUUACUUUAUUUCCUUUUUAAUGUUUAUAGUGUCUCGAAGACUCGCUCGGAUUGGAAGUCGUAGGAGAUCUCAUCACACUAUCCGGUUAUCGCUUUGGUAAAUAAAAGCUUUGAGUUUUUUGUUAUGUGGCAUGUAUAGGCUAGUUUUGAUAUAUUUGGUUUAAAAUUUGUAUGUGUAUAGCCAUGCGAAAAUGGCUUGAUCAUAAUGCUAAUGUUGGUUAUAUGAUUCGGCAAUGAGGAAGGGUAGUAAGAUGUAUAUUCAGCUUAUUAGUAAACUUAUUUUGGAAGCAUGAAAAAGUGGUAUAAUGUGGCUUGUUAAUGUGGUAAAAUGAUGGUUAUAUUUUGGGUAUGCUUGAUGGUCAUUUGAAUAACUAUAAGUGAUAUAUUGUUUUGAUGUUAAGUUAUGAGAUAGCAUAUUUAGCUUAAAAGAUUAAGUGAUGUUAAUAUGGUUAAUGAUUCGGUUAGAUAAUAAUGUUGGUAUGUGUUUAUAAUUGCUAUGUAAUGAUUAUGCUAUGCUAUGUGAAUUUGGCUAUUUUGUGUGGCUUAUUAACGACCUAUGUUUUGAAGUAUAAAUUGCCUUGUAAAUUAAUUUGUGAAUGAUGGAAAUUUCU
Molecule: long non-coding RNA, 972 nt
Filed under: Gossypium barbadense (sea-island cotton)
Lineage: Eukaryota; Viridiplantae; Streptophyta; Magnoliopsida; Malvales; Malvaceae
Description: long non-coding RNA (GBAR_LNC021134)
Source: RNAcentral